AGAUCCAACACUGUUUCUCAUAGCUUGCUGUAUUAGAGCUGUUGUAACAAAUACGAAGAAAAGUCAUACAAGCAGAGCAAUUUCUGAGCCAGCGGAUCAUGAUGAAAAGGAGACCGGCCACUCCAGGCAAGGUUUGCAGCAAGGCAGUUUCAUUGUAACCUGUCUUGUGAAUGCUUAGCUUUCCUAGUGUCAGCUUUUAAAUUUAAACUUUCCAUUGCUGGAUUUAUUCUGUAAUAUAUUAAGAACACUGCUGAAAAGAUUAGAAAAAUCUGAUCAUCACAAAGACAUGAAAAGGGCUGAGAGAGCAAUGUAUUUCUGAUAUAAUAGCAGAUUUCCCUUUUACUUCUUUUCUAUGAAAAAAAAAUAAAUCCCCAAUCCAUUCAAACCAGGUUAAUAGAACAUAGAGUUUCAGUCUACAGUUUCUGGAAGACUCUAAGGAGCAUUGUUUGCCUUUCUGUUCAUUUUCUCCUUUUGAAUUCCACCUAGAUGAAGCAGAGGCUUGAGAUAGCACAGAGCAAAAUGGAACGAAAACAGACAUACACCUGAUUUCUUAGGCCUCUUGAAAAUUAAUGGGCAGGAAGGUUUAACUUGUUCAGAGUGGACUAUUGACAUUAUAAAGGUGUAAUUGCUGAGAAUAUCCUUAGGGAUUAGUUUUAACCUUGUGAUUAUACUGUAGGACUUUUACGCUCCUUGACCCUAGAAGGAGUGUCCAGGUGGGGGACAUCUGAGCUCAUCUUUGUCCAGGUGCACCUCCUAUCAUCAGUGAAUGCUCUGAAGUGGGAAGGAGAAGUUCAGAGUGCUGAUGGUCACAGAGAUCUUCCAUUCCUGAAUCCUAUCACCUUCUCUUCACAACAACUUGGAGAAGAUCCAGAGAGUUGUGGACCCACGGAGGAGACAUCUGGAGACAGCGGAGAGAAGACAACACAGCUCCAUAUUCCCACCGGGGGCCAUUAGAGAUGGGCAAGGUGCUUUCUGGGGAGCCACAAGCUCGCUCAGGGGUGCUGCAGCUCUGAGUCCAGAUCCUCUGCUUGUGGGCUCCACAUGGAGGGCUCCUAAGUGUCUCUGAUGCCAAGUUGCCCGCCAGAGAUCAAGCCUCCCAGGUG
This 1103-nucleotide long non-coding RNA is filed under the name Equus caballus (horse). RNAcentral describes it as "lncRNA (ENSECAG00000049593.1)". The record is from RNAcentral. Lineage: Eukaryota; Metazoa; Chordata; Mammalia; Perissodactyla; Equidae.